Molecule: long non-coding RNA, 309 nt
Organism: Ananas comosus (pineapple)
Lineage: Eukaryota; Viridiplantae; Streptophyta; Magnoliopsida; Poales; Bromeliaceae
Exons: 3
Source: RefSeq, a predicted model, not a curated record
AAGUAGGGAAAAGCCUAAGUGGUGGCUGCUGCCUGGGUGGUGCAGAACUUGGGCACCCCAAGUUGAAGAAGCUUUAGUGGAGCUUCUUUGGUAACUCAAGCUGCAACAAAUCUGGUGGAUCUUGAAAUUUAGGUCGGCGACGCACUAAUUACAGUAGAAGCCAAUUCGGCUCUAAUUGCAUUGAGUCGCGUGAUAUUGUUGUUGGCACAGUUCGAGACGUGGAUUCUAGUUCUUGACACCACUACAGGUUCCAGUGCGAGCGGUGUGGCCGAGGAUCGUGGUAAGAGCCCCGCAGCCUAGCUAGCUGAC